AAACGCUGAAGGCAUCUAAGCGUGAAGCCCCCCUCAAGAUGAGAUGUCCCAUUCGAAAGAAGUAAACCCCCUUGAAGACGACGAGGUAGAUAGGGCAGGGGUGGAAGUGCAGUAAUGCAUGGAGCUGACUGUUACUAAUAGGGUGAGGGCUUGACCAAG
Molecule: ribosomal RNA, 159 nt
Filed under: Ruminococcus sp. AM42-11
Lineage: Bacteria; Bacillati; Bacillota; Clostridia; Eubacteriales; Oscillospiraceae
Description: partial 23S ribosomal RNA
Rfam family: Bacterial large subunit ribosomal RNA
Source: RNAcentral